This 77-nucleotide transfer RNA is filed under the name Oleidesulfovibrio alaskensis. RNAcentral's name for it is "tRNA-Ile". It matches the Rfam family "tRNA". Rfam says of the family: Transfer RNA (tRNA) molecules are approximately 80 nucleotides in length. Their secondary structure includes four short double-helical elements and three loops (D, anti-codon, and T loops). RNAcentral also lists the same sequence under 5 other names. Lineage: Bacteria; Pseudomonadati; Thermodesulfobacteriota; Desulfovibrionia; Desulfovibrionales; Desulfovibrionaceae. The record is from RNAcentral.
GGGCCUAUAGCUCAGCUGGUUAGAGCGCACGCCUGAUAAGCGUGAGGUCGGAAGUUCAAGUCUUCCUAGGCCCACCA